This 1783-nucleotide long non-coding RNA is filed under the name Brassica napus (rape). Its description in RNAcentral is "long non-coding RNA (BNAP_LNC022279)". Lineage: Eukaryota; Viridiplantae; Streptophyta; Magnoliopsida; Brassicales; Brassicaceae. The record is from RNAcentral.
AACAAGAGCUUUUGUUGAUAAAUGGGUAUGCUUUUAGAAUUUUUGUUAUGUAGAAAGUUUUUGUAGAAAGUUUUUCAUUAUGUAGGAAAAUAUUGUUUUAGAAAUUAGGAUAACAAGAGUUUUUGUUGAUAGAUGGACAUGCUUUUAGAAUUUUUUAUCAAUAGGUUAUAUUUUUAGAAUAAACUUUUAAAAACCGCUAUAUUUGGAAAGUUAUCAUUUUGUAGAUAAAUAUUGUAGAUUUGGGAUUGUGAUUUAGAAAUUAGGAUAACAAGAGUUUUUGUAGAUAAAUGAGUAUUCUUUUAGAAUUUUUGAUCAAUAGGUUAUAAUUUUUAAAUAAAUGUUCCAAAACCUGGUAUUUUUACAAAGUUAUCAUUUUGUUGAUAAAUAUUGUAGAUUUGAGAUUGUGAUUUUGAAAUUAAGAUAUGAAGAGUUUUUGUUGAUAGAUGGGUAUGGUUAUAGAAUUUUCGAUCAAUUGGUUAUAAUUUUUAAAUAAAGUUUCCAAAACCUGCUAUUUUUAGAAAAUUUUCGUUUUGUAGGAAAAUAUUGUAGAUUUUGGAUUGAGAUUUAGAAAUUAGGAUAACAAGAGUUUUUGUUAAUAGAUGAGCAUGCUUUUAGAAUUUUUGAUCGAUAGGUUAUAUUUUUAAAAUAAACUUUUUAAAACGUACUAUUUUCGGAAAGUUUGAUAUUUUGUAGAUUUGGAAUAGUGAUUUAGAAAUUAGGAUAACAAGAGUUUUUGGUGAUAGAUGGGUAUGCUUUUAGAAUUUUUGAUCAAUAGGUUUUAAUUUUUAAAUAAAUUUUCCAAAACCUGCUAUUUUUAGAAAGUUUUCAUUUUGUAGGAAAAUAUUGUAAAUUUGGGAUUGUGGUUUACAAAUUAGGAUAACAAGAGUUUUGUUAAUAGAUGGGUAUUCUUUUAGAGUGUUGAUCAAUAGGGUAUAAUUUUUAAAUAAAUUUUUCAAAACCUGAUAUUUUUGGAAAGUUAUCAUUUUAUAGAUAAAUAUUGUAGAUUUGGGAUUGUUAUUUAGAAAUUAGGAUAACAAGAGUUUUUGUUGAAAGAUGGGUAUGCUUUUAGAAUUUUUGAUCAAUUGAUUAUAAUUUUUAAAUAAAUUUUCCAAAACCUGUUAUUUUUGGAAAGUUACCAUUUUGUUUAUAAAUAUUGUAGAUUUGGGAUAGUGAUUUAGAAAUUAGGAUAACAAGAGCUUUUGUUGAUAAAUUAGUAUGCUUUUAGAAUUUUUGAUCAAUUGGUUAUAAUUUUUAAAUAAAUUUUCCAAAACCUGCUAUUUUUAGAAAGUUUUCAUUUUGUAGAAAAAUAAUGUAGAUUUGGGAUUGAGAUUUAGAAAUUAGGAUAAUAAGAGUUUUUGUUGAUAUAUGGGCAUGCUUUUAGAAGUUUUGAUCAAUAGGUUAUAUUUUUAAAAUAAACUUUUAAAAACUGAUAUAUUUGGAAAGUUAUCAUUUUGUAGAUAAAUAUUGUAGAUUUGAGAUUGUGAUUUAGAAAUUAGGAUAACAAGAGUUUUUAUAGAUAAAUGGGUAUGCUUUUACAAUUUUUGAUCAAUAUUGUGAUUUAGAAAUUAAGAUAUGAAGAGUUUUUGAUGAUAGAUGGGUAUGCUUUUAGAAUUUUUGAUCAAUUGGUUAUAAUUUUUAAAUAAAUUUUCAAAAACCUGCUAUUUUUUUAGAAAUUUUUCAUUUUGUAGGAAAAUAUUGUAGAUUUGGGAUUGAGAUUUAGAAAUUAGGAUAACAAGAUUUUUUGUUGAUAAAUGGGUAUACUUUUAGAAAUUUUGAUCAAUAG